This 2114-nucleotide ribosomal RNA is filed under the name Escherichia coli. RNAcentral describes it as "partial 23S ribosomal RNA". It matches the Rfam family "Bacterial large subunit ribosomal RNA", at positions 1 to 2136 of the family's 2925-position model. The record is from RNAcentral. Lineage: Bacteria; Pseudomonadati; Pseudomonadota; Gammaproteobacteria; Enterobacterales; Enterobacteriaceae.
GGUUAAGCGACUAAGCGUACACGGUGGAUGCCCUGGCAGUCAGAGGCGAUGAAGGACGUGCUAAUCUGCGAUAAGCGUCGGUAAGGUGAUAUGAACCGUUAUAACCGGCGAUUUCCGAAUGGGGAAACCCAGUGUGUUUCGACACACUAUCAUUAACUGAAUCCAUAGGUUAAUGAGGCGAACCGGGGGAACUGAAACAUCUAAGUACCCCGAGGAAAAGAAAUCAACCGAGAUUCCCCCAGUAGCGGCGAGCGAACGGGGAGCAGCCCAGAGCCUGAAUCAGUGUGUGUGUUAGUGGAAGCGUCUGGAAAGGCGCGCGAUACAGGGUGACAGCCCCGUACACAAAAAUGCACAUUCUGUGAGCUCGAUGAGUAGGGCGGGACACGUGGUAUCCUGUCUGAAUAUGGGGGGACCAUCCUCCAAGGCUAAAUACUCCUGACUGACCGAUAGUGAACCAGUACCGUGAGGGAAAGGCGAAAAGAACCCCGGCGAGGGGAGUGAAAAAGAACCUGAAACCGUGUACGUACAAGCAGUGGGAGCACAGAGCAAUCUGUGUGACUGCGUACCUUUUGUAUAAUGGGUCAGCGACUUAUAUUCUGUAGCAAGGUUAACCGAAUAGGGGAGCCGAAGGGAAACCGAGUCUUAACUGGGCGUUAAGUUGCAGGGUAUAGACCCGAAACCCGGUGAUCUAGCCAUGGGCAGGUUGAAGGUUGGGUAACACUAACUGGAGGACCGAACCGACUAAUGUUGAAAAAUUAGCGGAUGACUUGUGGCUGGGGGUGAAAGGCCAAUCAAACCGGGAGAUAGCUGGUUCUCCCCGAAAGCUAUUUAGGUAGCGCCUCGUGAAUUCAUCUCCGGGGGUAGAGCACUGUUUCGGCAAGGGGGUCAUCCCGACUUACCAACCCGAUGCAAACUGCGAAUACCGGAGAAUGUUAUCACGGGAGACACACGGCGGGUGCUAACGUCCGUCGUGAAGAGGGAAACAACCCAGACCGCCAGCUAAGGUCCCAAAGUCAUGGUUAAGUGGGAAACGAUGUGGGAAGGCCCAGACAGCCAGGAUGUUGGCUUAGAAGCAGCCAUCAUUUAAAGAAAGCGUAAUAGCUCACUGGUCGAGUCGGCCUGCGCGGAAGAUGUAACGGGGCUAAACCAUGCACCGAAGCUGCGGCAGCGACGCUUAUGCGUUGUUGGGUAGGGGAGCGUUCUGUAAGCCUGUGAAGGUGUGCUGUGAGGCAUGCUGGAGGUAUCAGAAGUGCGAAUGCUGACAUAAGUAACGAUAAAGCGGGUGAAAAGCCCGCUCGCCGGAAGACCAAGGGUUCCUGUCCAACGUUAAUCGGGGCAGGGUGAGUCGACCCCUAAGGCGAGGCCGAAAGGCGUAGUCGAUGGGAAACAGGUUAAUAUUCCUGUACUUGGUGUUACUGCGAAGGGGGGACGGAGAAGGCUAUGUUGGCCGGGCGACGGUUGUCCCGGUUUAAGCGUGUAGGCUGUUUUUCCAGGCAAAUCCGGAAAAUCAAGGCUGAGGCGUGAUGACGAGGCACUACGGUGCUGAAGCAACAAAUGCCCUGCUUCCAGGAAAAGCCUCUAAGCAUCAGGUAACAUCAAAUCGUACCCCAAACCGACACAGGUGGUCAGGUAGAGAAUACCAAGGCGCUUGAGAGAACUCGGGUGAAGGAACUAGGCAAAAUGGUGCCGUAACUUCGGGAGAAGGCACGCUGAUAUGUAGGUGAAGUCCCUCGCGGAUGGAGCUGAAAUCAGUCGAAGAUACCAGCUGGCUGCAACUGUUUAUUAAAAACACAGCACUGUGCAAACACGAAAGUGGACGUAUACGGUGUGACGCCUGCCCGGUGCCGGAAGGUUAAUUGAUGGGGUUAGCGGUAACGCGAAGCUCUUGAUCGAAGCCCCGGUAAACGGCGGCCGUAACUAUAACGGUCCUAAGGUAGCGAAAUUCCUUGUCGGGUAAGUUCCGACCUGCACGAAUGGCGUAAUGAUGGCCAGGCUGUCUCCACCCGAGACUCAGUGAAAUUGAACUCGCUGUGAAGAUGCAGUGUACCCGCGGCAAGACGGAAAGACCCCGUGAACCUUUACUAUAGCUUGACACUGAACAUUGAGCCUUGAUG